This 406-nucleotide ribosomal RNA is filed under the name uncultured bacterium. RNAcentral's name for it is "bacterial SSU rRNA". It matches the Rfam family "Bacterial small subunit ribosomal RNA", at positions 124 to 518 of the family's 1533-position model. The record is from RNAcentral.
ACCUGCCCUCGAGAUGGGAGUAGCCAUUAGAAAUAGUGGAUAAUACCGAAUACGCUCAUGACCCUGUGGGGAUAUGAGGAAAACAGGCUACGGCCUGGCUCGAGGAUGGGCCCGCGUCCCAUUAGCUAGUUGGUGAGGUAACGGCCCACCAAGGCGACGAUGGGUAUCCGGCCUGAGAGGGUGUACGGACACAUUGGGACUGAGAUACGGCCCAAACUCCUACGGGAGGCAGCAGCUAAGAAUAUUCCGCAAUGGACGAAGUCUGACGGAGCGACGCCGCGUGGAUGAAGAAGGCCCGGAAGGUUGUAAAAUCCUUUUGCUGAUGAAGAAUAAGUGUGGUAGGGAAUGACCGCAUGAUGACAUUAGUCGGUGAAUAAGCCCCGGCUAACUACGUGCCAGCAGCCGC